AGCGAAUCCCCAAAAGGACGUCUCAGUUCGGAUUGCAGGCUGCAACUCGCCUGUAUGAAGUCGGAAUUGCUAGUAAUCGUGGAUCAGCAUGCCACGGUGAAUACGUUCCCGGGCCUUGUACACACCGCCCGUCACACCAUGAGAGCCGGUAACACCCGAAGUCAGUAGCCUAACCGCAAGGGGGGCGCUGCCGAAGGUGGGAUUGGUAAUUGGGGUGAAGUCGUAACAAGGUACC
This 235-nucleotide ribosomal RNA is filed under the name uncultured bacterium. RNAcentral's name for it is "partial 16S ribosomal RNA". It matches the Rfam family "Bacterial small subunit ribosomal RNA", at positions 1266 to 1500 of the family's 1533-position model. The record is from RNAcentral.